GACGAACGCUGGCGGCGUGCUUAACACAUGCAAGUCGAACGGAAAGGCCCUGCUGUUGUGGGGUGCUCGAGUGGCGAACGGGUGAGUAACACGUGAGUAACCUGCCCUUGACUUUGGGAUAACUUCAGGAAACUGGGGCUAAUACCGGAUAGGAGCUCCUGCUGCAUGGUGGGGGUUGGAAAGUUUCGGCGGUUGGGGAUGGACUCGCGGCUUAUCAGCUUGUUGGUGGGGUAGUGGCUUACCAAGGCUUUGACGGGUAGCCGGCCUGAGCGGGUGACCGGCCACAUUGGGACUGAGAUACGGCCCAGACUCCUACGGGAGGCAGCAGUGGGGAAUAUUGCACAAUGGGCGGGAGCCUGAUGCAGCAACGCCGCGUGCGGGAUGACGGCCUUCGGGUUGUGAACCGCUUUCGCCUGUGACGAAGCGUGAGUGACGGUAAUGGGUAAAGAAGCACCGGCUAACUACGUG
This 468-nucleotide ribosomal RNA is filed under the name uncultured bacterium. Its description in RNAcentral is "partial 16S ribosomal RNA". It matches the Rfam family "Bacterial small subunit ribosomal RNA", at positions 28 to 507 of the family's 1533-position model. The record is from RNAcentral.